Molecule: small RNA, 155 nt
Organism: Morganella morganii subsp. morganii KT
Lineage: Bacteria; Pseudomonadati; Pseudomonadota; Gammaproteobacteria; Enterobacterales; Morganellaceae
Rfam family: SraG RNA
About the family: This RNA was discovered in E. coli during a large scale screen.
Source: Rfam
CUUCAGAUACAUCCUCGCGACUAAUGACAACCUUUUCCUGCUGCCGGAAAGUGCUCUCAUUAGCCGCGCGAAUAGCUGUACCGAAGAAUCGUUAUUAUUGCGGCAACAGCUCAGUGUGCCGCAUUCAGAAGAAAAGGGGCCGUCGGCCCCUUUCC